GCACCACCACCGCCAAUGUCGACGUGGGUGUCGUCACCUUCAAGCCAAGAUUCGGACUGUCUUCAUUUAUUUGAAUAAAGGAGAUUGGGCAAGAAUCUAAAAUGUCAAAUCGCCCAUCUUACAGACGAGUAGAAGGUUUGGUGGAAUUCCUGGAGCAAAAUUGAGCAAUAGCCAAAGGUUUGCUUCGGACGAGUCAAGGGAAGCUAGAAACUAAGCGAAAAUGGGCAAGCUUGGCAACUUCCUUGAAUUCCCUUGGAGGAGCCAAUAAAAAUGGUCAAGGCUGGGCUAAGUAUUGGGCUGAAAAUAAAUGUGGAUUGAAGAAGCAGUGCUCACAACUCUCAUCUUCAAUGAGGCGCACUGGUGACGGGAUAGCUGACAAUUUGCCAACAUUGUCUGCUCUAGAUAAUUUUGACUGCCACCAGCAGUGAUGGGUGGACAAGAAUUUGCAAGAGGCGAUUAAGCUUGGCAGUCAAUCCAUUUCCUGAAUUGAGGACGACUGUCUCACCGGUUGCUAUAGACUCUUCUACUGUAAGCAACAACGAGGUGAUGGAAAUGCACUUUGAGCAACCGGUGCAUGUUUCCCCUGUACCUGGCACGUCACACAGUGAAGUGAUACCAGACACCAUAAUACCUGAGACCACACCACUACCGGAGACUAUUACGUCACGACGGAGACGCCGACGCCAGACUUCAACUCACAGAGGGGAUACAAUAACAAUGGAACGUUUUGCGACUAUGGAAGAACAGCGGGUUGAAGCAGAAUUGACAACCGCCCGAGCAUUUGCUCAGUUGGCAGAACAAGUUGGGAAUAUGGAAAGGGCUUUGUCAUCUGUCACUGAUGCAAUUACAGACUUAGUAAGAAAAAUGCCAGACCGUAGCUCUUCUUGAUAUGUAUAAAACAAGUCAAUUUUUCAAAUUGGUUUAAUAGUUUCGGAGCCUUUAUUGCCUUUAGGUCAAAUAAACAUCAAAAUGUUUCUUCUUUAUUAUAUUAGUAUUGUAGUGUUCCUAAUCAAGCAAUGUGCCAUAAAUAGCCGUCUUAAAACUCUAAAAGUUUUCUAGUAAGUAAGUCUUCAAGUUUAGAGUAUAACACCAAGCUCCACUGCUCUGCACGGAAUACUGUGGAACGUACCAUUGGUGUACUCAAAAACCGAUGGCGGUGCUUAAUCGGUCAUAGGGUUUUUCACUAUCAUCCUGAUGUAGCAGCCAAAAUAAUUAAUGCUUGUUGUGUCUUACACAACAUGUGUAUCAAUAUCAUUGAAAUUGAUUUUGAUGAGAAUACAGCAGAGCAUCAGAAUGAUUACCUAACUGUCUCUUCCCAAGAGUCAACUAGCAACACAGCUGUUGAACUAAGACAAGGCAUCGAAAAGCGAAAUAUUUUAGUUCAGCAGUUGUGGUCAUGCAGAAGGUAGAUUAAAGGUAUGAUACAAUUAAAUUCAUUAAUUAUAAGUCUGAUAUAACUAACAUGAGGCGGAACAAUAUAUUUGGUACGCAGCGGAACCUCUACCUCUAAAUUUGCAUUUUAUUUAUUUAUUUAUUUAUUUAUACUUCAUGCACAUUUCGUACAAUGGCGGACUUAACGCCUUAGGCGUUUUCUCCCAGUCUACCUUUAGGUGGUGGAGAAAUAGCAGUGGUAGGUGCAAGGUUUUUGUUUGGAUAGUUAGUUUAAAAGUAUACAAUACUGCAUUUUGUAAUUUCAGCUAAAAUGUCAA
RNAcentral lists this long non-coding RNA (1709 nucleotides) under Helicoverpa zea (corn earworm). RNAcentral describes it as "uncharacterized LOC124635948". Lineage: Eukaryota; Metazoa; Arthropoda; Insecta; Lepidoptera; Noctuidae. The record is from RNAcentral.